CAAUAGCGUAUACUAAUGUUGUUGCAGUUAAAAAGCUCGUAGUUGGACUUCUGGUAGGAGUGUCCCGGCCUUUUUGUUUUUACAAAUUGUAUGCUGUGUGACAUCUCUGGCCAUCCUUCUUCUUUGUUUAAAGAAGAUCUUUCACUGUAAAAAAAUUAGGGUGUUCAAAGCAAAAGUUUCUUUGGAAUAUAUUAGUAUGGGAUGAUAAGAUAGGCUCUAGAUGCUAUUUUGUUGGUUUGCACAUUUAGAGAAUGAUUAACAGGGACAGUUGGGGGUAUUCGUAUUUACAUGUCAGAGGUGAAAUUCUUGGAUUUUGGAAAGACGAACUACUGCGAAAGCAUUUACCAAGGAUGUUUUCAUUAA
Molecule: ribosomal RNA, 363 nt
Filed under: uncultured eukaryote
Lineage: Eukaryota
Description: partial 18S ribosomal RNA
Rfam family: Eukaryotic small subunit ribosomal RNA
Source: RNAcentral